This 497-nucleotide ribosomal RNA is filed under the name uncultured bacterium. RNAcentral describes it as "partial 16S ribosomal RNA". It matches the Rfam family "Bacterial small subunit ribosomal RNA", at positions 28 to 507 of the family's 1533-position model. The record is from RNAcentral.
GAUGAACGCUGGCGGCGUGCCUAAUACAUGCAAGUCGAGCGAACAGACGAGGAGCUUGCUCCUCUGACGUUAGCGGCGGACGGGUGAGUAACACGUGGAUAACCUACCUAUAUUACUGGGAUAACUUCGGGAAACCGGAUCUAAUACCGGAUAAUAUAUUGAACCGCAGGGUUCAAUAGUGAAAGACGGUUUUGCUGUCACUUAUAGAUGGAUCCGCGCCGCAUUAGCUAGUUGGUAAGGUAACGGCUUACCAAGGCAACGAUGCGUAGCCGACCUGAGAGGGUGAUCGGCCACACUGGAACUGAGACACGGUCCAGACUCCUACGGGAGGCAGCAGUAGGGAAUCUUCCGCAAUGGGCGAAAGCCUGACGGAGCCACGCCGCGUGAGUGAUGAAGGUCUUCGGAUCGUAAAACUCUGUUAUUAGGGAAGAACAAAUGUGUAAGUAACUAUGCACGUUUUGACGGUACCUAAUCAGAAAGCCACGGCUAACUACGUG